AAGACCUUGCGCUUUUGGAGCGGCCGAUGCCUGAUUAGCUAGUUGGUGGGGUAAUGGCCUACCAAAGCUUCGAUCAGUAGCUGGUCUGAGAGGACGGCCAGCCACACUGGGACUGAGACACGGCCCAGACUCCUACGGGAGGCAGUAGUGGGGAAUUUUGGACAAUGGGGGAAACCCUGAUCCAGCCAUGCCGCGUGAGUGAAGAAGGCCUUCGGGUUGUAAAGCUCUUUCAGCCGGGAAGAAAAGGUUGCGACUAAUAAUCGCAAUUCAUGACGGUACCGAAAGAAGAAGCACCGGCUAACUACGUGCCAGCAGCCGCGGUAAUACGUAGGGUGCGAGCGUUAAUCGGAAUUACUGGGCGUAAAGGGUGCGCAGGCGGUUUUGUAAGUCAGAUGUGAAAUCCCCGGGCUUAACCUGGGAACU
This 423-nucleotide ribosomal RNA is filed under the name uncultured bacterium. Its description in RNAcentral is "bacterial SSU rRNA". It matches the Rfam family "Bacterial small subunit ribosomal RNA", at positions 207 to 622 of the family's 1533-position model. The record is from RNAcentral.